Oncorhynchus gorbuscha (pink salmon) is the source of this 777-nucleotide long non-coding RNA. RefSeq lists it as uncharacterized. The transcript has 5 exons. Lineage: Eukaryota; Metazoa; Chordata; Actinopteri; Salmoniformes; Salmonidae. The record is from RefSeq and is a predicted model, not a curated record.
CAGCCAAAGGUUGGUGAAGGUGAUCUCCACUGCGUUGGAGAACCCACUGAGUCCAGUCCAGGACAACACUGAGCAGCAGGAGGCUGAUCGUCAGAGCUGUGUGUCCAGUGUGGUCCACCAGGCUGACCAGGCCUGCAGACGCCUGGUCUCACAGGCCAUGCAGGAGGCCAGAGAACAUCAACUUCCCCCAGAGAGGAUGAGGUCUCUGGCAGCCGACUUCAAUGAAUCCAAAAGCACAUUUCUCCAGGACCUGCGGAGACAGGUUCUCCGCGGCCUUCCCUUAACCCAGGGAGAGGACGUGGAGGGGGUCGUGAACAGAGCCGUGGACGUCUUCAACAAAGAGAAACAGGAAAUCAUUGCAAGACACCUUCCUCCUUAUGACAGAAUAAAAUGACACAGAUAAUGAGGGAUGGAUGACAGCCAUUAUGUAACUUUCAUUGAUUCUAUGGAAAUAGUCAUACAUAUUAACGUUAGUGAUUACAUUUCUUUAUUUUUCUGACAAAAUGUCCAACCUGUUAGGUGCAUAUACAGGGUGGAACCUAGCAAGGUGGAACCUAACAGGGUGGAAAUGUGGAGGCUAACGUAGCCGUAGCACUGGGUGGAACCUAGCAAGGUGGAACCUAACAGGGUGGAACCUAACAGGGUGGAAAUGUGGAGGCUAACUUAGCCGUAGCACUGGGUGGAACCUAGCAAGGUGGAACCUAACAGGGUGGAAAUGUGGAGGCUAACUUAGCCGUAGCACUGGGUGGAACCUAGCAAGGUGGAACCUAACAGGGU